GUUCCUCUCUGGAUCUCCUGCUAGUCUGGGAUCAGCUGCAGUUAAUUCCCAAAACUCCUGUGUCCUGUUGCUGCUCUGGCUGGUCCCUUCCCCUCCACUGGGAAGGCUUUACAAGGACACUUUGAAAUAGCAAACAGCUUGUGGAAACCAUCACGUGCUGACAGAUUCACAGGAAUGGGCGCAAAGUUUGUGAUGCUGAGCAGUGCUAGAGGAGCCCCAGCACGGUGAGGUGGUGGCUGCUACAG
Long non-coding RNA from Passer montanus (Eurasian tree sparrow), 245 nucleotides. RefSeq lists it as uncharacterized. The transcript has 3 exons. NCBI's taxonomy places the organism in Eukaryota, Metazoa, Chordata, Aves, Passeriformes, Passeridae. The record is from RefSeq and is a predicted model, not a curated record.